Molecule: ribosomal RNA, 219 nt
Filed under: uncultured bacterium
Lineage: Bacteria
Description: partial 16S ribosomal RNA
Rfam family: Bacterial small subunit ribosomal RNA
Source: RNAcentral
UGGGUGAUCUACCUCUGGGUGGGGAAUAACCCUGGGAAACCGGGGCUAAUACCGCAUAACACUGUAAGGUCAAAGGCGCAAGUCGCCUGGAGAGGAGCCCGCGGCUGAUUAGCUAGUUGGUGAGGUAAAGGCUCACCAAGGCAAUGAUCGGUAGCCGGCCUGAGAGGGCACACGGCCACACUGGCACUGAAACACGGGCCAGACUCCUACGGGAGGCAG